Molecule: ribosomal RNA, 613 nt
Filed under: uncultured archaeon
Lineage: Archaea
Description: bacterial SSU rRNA
Rfam family: Archaeal small subunit ribosomal RNA
Source: RNAcentral
GAUCCCGCCAGAGGUUACUGCUAUCGGAGUUCGAUUAAGCCAUGCGAGUCUAAAGGUUUCUUUCGAGAAACCUUGGCGGACUGCUCAGUAACACGUGGAUAACCUACCCUUGGGACUGGAAUAACCCCGGGAAACUGGGGAUAAUACCGGAUAGAUCAGGGAUGCUGGAAUGCACCUUGAUCCAAAGCUCCGGCGCCCAAGGAUGGGUCUGCGGUCUAUCAGGUUGUAGUGGGUGUAACGUACCUACUAGCCGACGACGGGUACGGGUUGUGAGAGCAAGAGCCCGGAGAUGGAUUCUGAGACACGAAUCCAGGCCCUACGGGGUGCAGCAGGCGCGAAAUCUUUACAAUGUGCGAAAGCAUGGUAAGGGAACUCCGAGUGCCAGUAUCUAAUACUGGCUGUCCUUGUGCCUAAAACGCACAAGAUAGCGAGGGCCGGGUAAGACCGGUGCCAGCCGCCGCGGUAACACCGGCGGCCCGAGUGGUAGCCGCUAUUAUUGGGUCUAAAGGGUCCGUANCCGGUUCGAUAAGUCCUCUGGGAAAUCUGGUUGCUUAACAAUCAGACUGCCAAGGGAUACUGUCGAACUUGAGACCGGGAGAGGUAAGAGGUACUU